This 1047-nucleotide long non-coding RNA is filed under the name Zostera marina. Its description in RNAcentral is "long non-coding RNA (ZMAR_LNC003717)". Lineage: Eukaryota; Viridiplantae; Streptophyta; Magnoliopsida; Alismatales; Zosteraceae. The record is from RNAcentral.
GGGAAAUAUAAAAAUGCUCGUUGUUUAAGAAAAGGAUCAAUACUUGAUUCCACCAAUACGUCUUCUUCUACUUGAUCAAACCCAAUUAAAUAUGUUGAAAGUUGCAGGUUUUUGCAGGUUUAUUUUGACUGAAAUUCUCUGCACACUUAGCAUUUAAGUAGUCUCUUAAUUCCUAACACCAUAGUCAGAGUUUGCAUCAAGAACAGCUCACUGUUGCACAUGGAAGAUGACACGUGGCAUCUUCAAUCUAUCUCUAUUCUCUACUACACGUUACUCUUAUACAGAUAUGAGCUUAACUGGAUCUAUCGUUCUGUUCUCUUAGGUUGAAUUAGGGAUGACAAUAACAAACACGGCAUGUUCAUAAUAGUAUCGGUUUAGUAUUUGCCAAUAAAAACACGACAUUACACGAUUACACGAAACGUAAGUUGAUAUGACACGAUAAUACGAAAGUAUGUUAUCAUUAAUUGGGUCCAUUUCCGAUACGGCAUGUCUGUUCCGACGACUCAGUGCGGACACCAUCGGGGUGCAGUCCACCAUCUUGAGGCCGGAACCGGAAUACCGUUCGUGAAUUGCGAGUUCGCGAUGGGUUCAGGAACCCGAAACCACCAACUGUACUCCAGGAACCCAACACAGUUCCAGUUUUCGGGUGUCGUUCAACUGCAAUGCAGUUCCUCACGUGUCGACCGUCAGAUUGCCUUCAAUGCCCAUCCGCGUGAGGUACCUCACUCGGUUUCAGAGACAUAAUGGGUGAUUAUCAAUUAAUGUUUAUCGUUUAUAUAAUAAGAUAAAAUAAUAUUUUUAUGCAAACCCUUAUAAAAUAUAUCUUUAAAAUAAUAACUAUGUAAUAAGGUGAAAUAAUAAAAUGUAUUAUUAGAUAAUUAUUAUCAUUAAAAUAAUAGUUUCGUAUUCGCGUCGACAUGAAUUUUAUGUCGUGUCAGUCGUGAAAUCGUGUUUGUGUCAAUGAAAAAAAUUAAUCGAGAUUUGGUCUGUAAUAUAAAUGAUAUUAGUUUAAGGGUGUGAAAAUAAAUAAUUUAAAGUAUGGGGGGG